AACGUAGGACGCAAGCGUUAUCCGGAAUUACUGGGCGUAAAGCGCGCGCAGGCGGUUCGAUAAGUCACCUGUGAAAGCUCAUGGCUAAACUGUGAGAGGUGAGGUGAUACUAUUGGACUAGAGAUUGCUAGAGGUAUGUGGAAUUCCGCGUGUAGUGGUGAAAUGCGUAGAGAUGCGGAGGAACACCAGUGGCGAAGGCGGCAUACUGGGGCAAUACUGACGCUGAGGCGCGAAAGCAUGGGUAGCGAACGGG
RNAcentral lists this ribosomal RNA (253 nucleotides) under uncultured bacterium. RNAcentral describes it as "partial 16S ribosomal RNA". It matches the Rfam family "Bacterial small subunit ribosomal RNA", at positions 524 to 776 of the family's 1533-position model. The record is from RNAcentral.